Molecule: microRNA precursor, 179 nt
Organism: Arabidopsis thaliana (thale cress)
Lineage: Eukaryota; Viridiplantae; Streptophyta; Magnoliopsida; Brassicales; Brassicaceae
Rfam family: MIR834 microRNA precursor family
Source: Rfam
UUUCAGCGACAGCCAAAAUCACCACCGCUUCUGCUACGAACAUGUUAAGCCAUCCUUUUAACCGUUGCUGCCACCACUAUUACGGCCAUCACAAGAAAAUUCAUGCAAGUGGAAACGGUGAUAGUAGCAGCUGGUAUGACACGUUGGUAGCAGUAGCGGUGGUAAUGCCGAUAGCGUGA